CUGGGCUUUAAGAGGCCUUGUACAUUUCCCCCGGUGUCUUGUGUUCCUACCCCUUCCAUGAAAGUGAUAUGUUUGGACUAAGCCUUGGUUCCAGGUGGGAGAAGAAAGGUACUUGGUGCAGAGAGAAGCUGCAGCAGACAGUCUCGCUGUAUUGCCCAGGCUGGAGUGCAACGGCACAAUCUUGGCUCACCGCAACAUCCACCUCCCCGGGUGCGAGUGAUUCUCCUGCCUCAGCCUCCCUAGUAGCUGGGAUUACAAGCACUUGCCAAGAUUCUUGGCUAAUUUUUGAAUUUUAAUAGAGAAGGGGUUUUACCAUGUUGGCCAGGCUGAUCUUGAACUCCUGACCUCAGGUGAUCUGCCUGACACGGCCUCCCAAACUGCUGGGAUUACAGGUCUGAUCCACCAUGAUUUAACUCUUAAAUCCUAAGUAUAAAAUGAGUUUACAAGAAAUUCAUGUUUUUGUUUUUGGUUUUUCAGAUCUCAAAUAUAGUAUUCUUGUUAAAGUAAACUGCAAAUCAAGAAAGCAUCUACUUAGCAGAGAAUUGUCUCAAAAACGUUUACAUCCUGAUGAUCAAAAAUGAUUAGCUUUACUUCCCAGGUUUUAUAAAUCAGGUAAUAUCGAUUUCCAUAUUUAUUCAAUAGAGUUAAACUCGAUUGCUUGUAUUUAAGGUUGUGUGUGUGUGUGUGUGUGUGUGUGUAAAAUUCCACCCAAUAAACACUGCAUUUCUAGCUUAGAAAAUGUAAUAACCAGUUGUUUUCUUUCUCUCAGCUAAGACAACACAUUUCCAUUUAAUUAAAGUCUCAAACAUGGCCCAAGUUCACACUAGAAUUGCGAUGUUUGCUAACUAAAUAAAUGGAUUUGUUGGCAUCUAGCAUCACAAUAGUUUGUAGACUGACUUCUCUUUUGGCAGAAAACCCCUGGAAUUUCAAAACCUUAAUUCCUAUGUUUAAAUGCAAAAGUGCUAGCUAAAAUAAAGGGUCAAAAUGAGAUAGAUUAACCAUUUUAUUUCUCCUUCAUAUUUUAGUUAAAAACAUAUAACACACGUUUCCUGUUUUCAGCUGCAUUAUAGCUCCUUAAAUUUGAAAAUAACACAGAACUAUACAAAACCAAAGAUGGAGAUUUUAUAUUUUAUAAAAAUUAUCUCAAACCCAUAUUUUUAGUUUCCAAAGUUUUUAAUCUAUAUUCAUCAUAACAACUAUAAUAUUUGAA
Molecule: long non-coding RNA, 1210 nt
Filed under: Homo sapiens (human)
Lineage: Eukaryota; Metazoa; Chordata; Mammalia; Primates; Hominidae
Description: HSALNT0063476
Source: RNAcentral